RNAcentral lists this transfer RNA (83 nucleotides) under Candidatus Mikella endobia. RNAcentral describes it as "tRNA-Leu". It matches the Rfam family "tRNA". From Rfam's summary of the family: Transfer RNA (tRNA) molecules are approximately 80 nucleotides in length. Their secondary structure includes four short double-helical elements and three loops (D, anti-codon, and T loops). Lineage: Bacteria; Pseudomonadati; Pseudomonadota; Gammaproteobacteria; Enterobacterales; Enterobacteriaceae. The record is from RNAcentral.
GCGGGAGUGGCGAAAUUGGUAGACGCACCAGAUUUAGGUUCUGGCGCUGUAAAGUAUGCGAGUUCAAAUCUCGCCUCCCGCAC